GGCCCGGUGGUGUAACUGGUAACACGUCCUCUUUUCAUAUCUCUCUGCCUUUGAAGGUACGAAGAAAUCCCUUGUUCGAAUCAAGGUCAGGCCU
Mycena rebaudengoi is the source of this 94-nucleotide non-coding RNA. NCBI's taxonomy places the organism in Eukaryota, Fungi, Basidiomycota, Agaricomycetes, Agaricales, Mycenaceae. The record is from the annotation of a GenBank genome assembly.